CUCGAUUUAAAGUUGAAAGCUUGCCAUCGAUACAGUUUCAUAACACAGCGAUCUCAGAUGAAGGUGGAUAUAAAUAUUACAUCAGGACCUUUCAGGGGAAUGUUAAUGUACAAUUCACAAUUAAUGUCACAGAUCACACAGGGACAUGAUGGUCUCUUCACUCUGUUCAGCAAACUGAGCUUCAGGAGCAUCGACACGACCUGGGGAUCAGGUGCGUCAUCCUCAACUACAGAUAUGAAGAAGAAGGAGAGAGGACGUUGAGUUGGGGGAUAGGGCCCUGACCCCUGCAGACCACCAACAUCCCACAAGAGACCCAGUCGUCUAGACACUCCAAUUGUUCAGAUCCUUACAUUCCUUACGCUUCCAACACAUCGUCUCCGAGAACCGACUGUUCCUUCGCUGCCUAAUAAACAAAUAAAUGAGUAGAAGUGAAUGAAAUUGAUACAAUCAGUGUU
Long non-coding RNA from Clarias gariepinus (North African catfish), 455 nucleotides. RefSeq lists it as uncharacterized. The transcript is spliced from 3 exons. The record is from RefSeq and is a predicted model, not a curated record. NCBI's taxonomy places the organism in Eukaryota, Metazoa, Chordata, Actinopteri, Siluriformes, Clariidae.